This 214-nucleotide ribosomal RNA is filed under the name Campeiostachys nutans. RNAcentral's name for it is "Elymus nutans partial small subunit ribosomal RNA". The stretch from base 38 to 214 matches the Rfam family "Eukaryotic small subunit ribosomal RNA", at positions 684 to 863 of the family's 1831-position model. Lineage: Eukaryota; Viridiplantae; Streptophyta; Magnoliopsida; Poales; Poaceae. The record is from RNAcentral.
GGAUCAAUUUGCUGGUCGUGCCUUUGGUACGUACUGGUAUUAUUGGUUUCUCCUUUCUGAAGAACUACGAUGUCAUUAAUUUGGUGUCGUGGGAAACCAGGACCUUUACCUUGAAAAAAUUAGAGUGUUCAAAGCAGGCUUACGUCUGAAUACAUUAGCAUGGAAUAAUAGAAUAGGACGGUGGUCCUGUUUUGUUGGUUUCUGAAUCACCGUA